Molecule: ribosomal RNA, 814 nt
Filed under: uncultured bacterium
Lineage: Bacteria
Description: bacterial SSU rRNA
Rfam family: Bacterial small subunit ribosomal RNA
Source: RNAcentral
AGUCGAGCGGCAGCACAGAGGAACUUGUUCCUUGGGUGGCGAGCGGCGGACGGGUGAGUAAUGCCUAGGAAAUUGCCCUGAUGUGGGGGAUAACCAUUGGAAACGAUGGCUAAUACCGAAUGAGAUCUACGGAUGAAAGGUGCCCUCUUCUUGAAAGGUAUCGCUAAAGGAUGAGCCCAUGUUAGAUUAGCUAGUUGGUGAGGUAAUGGCUCACCAAGGCAUCGAUCUAUAGCUGGUUUGAGAGGAUGAUCAGCCACACUGGGACUGAGACACGGCCCAGACUCCUACGGGAGGCGGCAGUGGGGAAUAUUGCACAAUGGAGGAAACUCUGAUGCAGCCAUGCCGCGUGUGUGAAGAAGGCCCGAGGGUUGUAAAGCACUUUUAGUGAGGAGGAAAGGUUAGUCGUUAAUACCGGCUAGCUGUGACGUUACUCACAGAAAAAGCACCGGCUAACUCUGUGCCAGCAGCCGCGGUAAUACAGAGGGUGCAAGCGUUAUUCGGAAUUACUGGGCGUAAAGCGCGCGUAGGCGGAUUGUUAAGUCAGUUGUGAAAGCCCUGGGCUCAACCUAGGAACGGCGAUUGAAACUGGCAGUCUAGAGUUUAGUAGAGGGAAGGGGAAUUUCUGGAGUAGCAGUGAAAUGCGUAGAUAUCAGAAAGGAACAUCAGUGGCGAACGCGCCUUCCUGGACUAAAACUGACGCUGAGUGCGAGAGCGUGGGGAGCAAACGGGAUUAGAUACCCCGGGUAGUCUACGCCCUAAACGAUGUCAACUAGCUGUGGUCUUAUUAAAAAGAUUAGUAGCGCAGCUAACGCGA